UGUUCAUAAGUCACAUGAAACAAAAUUGCCAUUGAUCUCAAACAAUCAACAUCUUUACAUGCAAAUGUCAUCAAAAGGACUUUUUAAGGCUUGUAAUGAGGUUGGGUUAACAAGAAGAAUUGGUUUUUCUAGAAUGCAAAAUCCUUGAGUCAAGAGAGACAUCAACAUAUUCAACAUUUAAGCACAACUCUCUCACUAAUGUCUCUCAUUCCCAACUUCUUCCCUUUUCUUUUCUUUUUCAUUGAGCUCAUCUUCAUGUUUUUCUUCUUUUCUUUUCUUUUUCUCAUGAAUUUUUUUUUUCACAACAUUUGAGCUCAAUGCUUUUCACUUGCUUUUUCAAUUUUCCCCCUACAACCCCAAACUUGAACCUUUUCAUCACAUACAAUUAAGCUCAUCCCAACUCAAGGUAAAGAAUUUCAAAAGAAGGGUUCACAUCCUGUUUAAGGCUAAGGUUCAAAAAGGGUAUAAUAUUUCAAGCACUUUGGGUGAAAAUUUGGCUAGAGAAGGUUUUUCAAAAAUGGCCUUGAUCAUAUGACAUUCACAUGCAAUUCAAUCGAUCAUCAAGAUUAAGGCAAUAUCAUCCAUGUUUUCCUGUGAACAAUGCAUACAUCUAUAAAAACUUUGGAGCUCAAAAUCUCACACACAUUGCUUUCUCACACAAAAUUCAUUCAUACACCCUGCCUAGCAUCAUGCCCACAAUCAUAAUUCAUCACACAUCUAUUUCACAUAAUAUCAACAUGCAUUGAACCUCAAUUCUCAUCCACAUCAAAUAAUCAUCUAAUAACUUCAUCAUGCACAUCAGUCAGUCAAACAUUUUCAGAAAAAGUACUUAAGCCAAGGAUACACACCG
This 850-nucleotide long non-coding RNA is filed under the name Vigna radiata. Its description in RNAcentral is "long non-coding RNA (VRAD_LNC012689)". The record is from RNAcentral. Lineage: Eukaryota; Viridiplantae; Streptophyta; Magnoliopsida; Fabales; Fabaceae.